RNAcentral lists this ribosomal RNA (600 nucleotides) under Prevotella sp. P2-180. RNAcentral's name for it is "bacterial SSU rRNA". It matches the Rfam family "Bacterial small subunit ribosomal RNA", at positions 1 to 587 of the family's 1533-position model. The record is from RNAcentral. Lineage: Bacteria; Pseudomonadati; Bacteroidota; Bacteroidia; Bacteroidales; Prevotellaceae.
UUUACAAUGUAGAGUUUGAUCCUGGCUCAGGAUGAACGCUAGCUACAGGCUUAACACAUGCAAGUCGCGGGGCAGCAUGAAUUUAGCUUGCUAAAUUUGAUGGCGACCGGCGCACGGGUGAGUAACGCGUAUCCAACCUUCCCCUGUCCACGGGAUAGCCCGUCGAAAGGCGGAUUAAUACCGUAUGAGGUCACAUGACGGCAUCAGAGUGUGACGAAAGGUUUUGCGGACAGGGAUGGGGAUGCGUCCGAUUAGCUUGUUGGCGGGGUAACGGCCCACCAAGGCAACGAUCGGUAGGGGUUCUGAGAGGAAGGUCCCCCACAUUGGAACUGAGACACGGUCCAAACUCCUACGGGAGGCAGCAGUGAGGAAUAUUGGUCAAUGGGCGAGAGCCUGAACCAGCCAAGUAGCGUGCAGGAUGACGGCCCUAUGGGUUGUAAACUGCUUUUAUGCGGGGAUAACGUGCACCACGUGUGGUGUAUUGCAGGUACCGCAUGAAUAAGGACCGGCUAAUUCCGUGCCAGCAGCCGCGGUAAUACGGAAGGUCCGGGCGUUAUCCGGAUUUAUUGGGUUUAAAGGGAGCGUAGGCCGCUGUUUAAG